CCCUAGUAACGGCGAGUGAAGCGGCAACAGCUCAAAUUUGAAAUCUGGCUCUUUCAGGGUCCGAGUUGUAAUUUGCAGAGGGCGCUUUGGCGUUGGCAGCGGUCCAAGUUCUUUGGAACAGGACGUCACAGAGGGUGAGAAUCCCGUACGUGGUCGCUAGCCUUCGCCGUGUAAAGCCCCUUCGACGAGUCGAGUUGUUUGGGAAUGCAGCUCUAAAUGGGAGGUAAAUUUCUUCUAAAGCUAAAUACUGGCCAGAGACCGAUAGCGCACAAGUAGAGUGAUCGAAAGAUGAAAAGCACUUUGGAAAGAGAGUCAAAUAGCACGUGAAAUUGUUGAAAGGGAAGCGCUUGCAGCCAGACUUGCCUGUAGUUGCUUAUCCGGACUUUUGUCCGGUGCACUCUUCUGCGGGCAGGCCAGCAUCAGUUUGGGCGGUUGGAUAAAGGUCUCUGUCAUGUACCUCCUUUCGGGGAGGCCUUAUAGGGGAGACGACAUGCAACCAGCCUGGACUGAGGUCCGCGCAUCUGCUAGGAUGCUGGCGUAAUGGCUGUAAGCGGCCCGUCUUGAAACACGGACCAAGGAGUCUAACAUCUAUGCGAGUGUUUGGGUGUCAAGCCCAGACGCGUAAUGAAAGUGAACGGAGGUGGGAACCCUUUGGGUGCACCAUCGACCGAUCCUGAUGUCUUCGGAUGGAUUUGAGUAAGAGCAUGGCUGUUGGGACCCGAAAGAUGGUGAACUAUGCUUGAAUAGGGUGAAGCCAGAGGAAACUCUG
This 769-nucleotide ribosomal RNA is filed under the name Pleosporales sp. RNAcentral describes it as "partial large subunit ribosomal RNA". It matches the Rfam family "Eukaryotic large subunit ribosomal RNA", at positions 78 to 866 of the family's 3401-position model. Lineage: Eukaryota; Fungi; Ascomycota; Dothideomycetes; Pleosporales. The record is from RNAcentral.